GAUGAAGAACGUAGCGAAAUGCGAUAAGUAAUGCGAAUUGCAGAAUUCCAGUGAGUCAUCGAAUCUUUGAACGCACAUUGCGCCCUUUGGUAUUCCGAAGGGCAUGCCUGUUCGAGCGUCAUUAUCACCCCUCAAGCCCUCGGCUUGGUGUUGGACGGUUUGGUGGAGGCCCCCUCGGGGGCUCCUGCCCCUCCCAAAGACAAUGACGGCGGCCUCGUUGGACCCCCGGUACACUGAGUUCUUCACGGGACACGUAUCGGACACAUGGGUUUACGGGACACGGUCUGCCUCCCCUCAGGGAGAAUCUUUCAAAGGUUGACCUCGGAUCAGGUAGGGAUACCCGCUGAACUUAAGCAUAUCAAUAAGCGGAGGA
RNAcentral lists this unclassified non-coding RNA (373 nucleotides) under soil metagenome. RNAcentral describes it as "partial contains 5.8S ribosomal RNA, internal transcribed spacer 2, and large subunit ribosomal RNA". The stretch from base 1 to 121 matches the Rfam family "5.8S ribosomal RNA", at positions 35 to 154 of the family's 154-position model. The record is from RNAcentral.